ACACGACUACAUUAGAUACCCCUGUAGUCCUAGCCGUAAACGAUACUCGCUAGGUGUCGGCCACGGUGCGACCGUUGUCGGUGCCGUAGGGAAGCCGUGAAGCGAGCCACCUGGGAAGUACGGCCGCAAGGCUGAAACUUAAAGGAAUUGGCGGGGGAUCACAACAACGGGUGGAGCUUGCGGUUUAAUUGGAUUCAACGCCGGAAAUCUUAGCGGGACCGACAGCAACAUGAAGGCCAAGCUGAAGACUUUGCCGGAUUAGCUG
This 265-nucleotide ribosomal RNA is filed under the name uncultured archaeon. Its description in RNAcentral is "partial 16S ribosomal RNA". It matches the Rfam family "Archaeal small subunit ribosomal RNA", at positions 717 to 982 of the family's 1478-position model. The record is from RNAcentral.